Oryza sativa Japonica Group (Japanese rice) is the source of this 3973-nucleotide non-coding RNA. The record is from RefSeq and is a predicted model, not a curated record. Lineage: Eukaryota; Viridiplantae; Streptophyta; Magnoliopsida; Poales; Poaceae.
CCCCCCCCCCCCCGUCUUUAAUUUUGUUAUUCUCCUCUUCGUAUCCUUCCUUGUGUUGUGUUUAGUAAGUAGGAUUAUUGUGUAGGAAGGACACCUAAAAAAAAUGAGAGAGAGAGAGAGAUGCUAAUCUGAUUAUUAUUACAGUAAUUUUGUUGGGCGAUGUACUGUAAUACAGACUUGUUUAAUGGAAAUGAAACUUUGAUUCUGCUUCUGGCUGUUGUUCGAUCUAUCAUCUUUGGAUAGAUGGUUUAGCUGAUUAUUAUAAAUAUAAAUAUCUAGCGUGCUAUGCUAUUAGCACACUUAAUGUUAGUAAGUGCAGUACUUCGUUAAACCAUCAGUUAGUAUAAUGGAGAAAUCUCUGGUUUCUUUUAUUUGUUGCGUAGUCUUGAAGUUGAUGCGGGCGAUAGGAGCUGAUUGGGUAGUCUAGAUGAUGCGUAGGUACCAUUUGGAGAACUCCUAAAGAUUUAUCCAAUGAAUUCAAUCUAUUCAGAACUUCCGUUCACUUUCUUUUAGCAUGCCAUAGUCUCGUAGAUUUUAGCCAUUCCGUACGAUUAUGAUUGAAGUCAGGAGAUCAAAGCAAUGAUGCAUGCCCUGGGUGCACCUGUGCACGCUGUGCUCACUGGCUACUAUUACCAUGACAUGUUGGGCGACGAUCCUUUGAACAUUGCUUACACGUGCUACAAGUCAGCAGUAGUAUCACUAAGGUCAAUGUGGCUGGUUGCAUUUGCCACCAGAUACCAGUGGUAUUCCAGAAGACAGGGGGAUUAAGUACAUGAUUUACUGAGCACUUUCUUUGGCCAGUAGAGUGGUGUUUUGAGAAUCUAUUGAUUCAUCUCACUGCCCACCAUUUUCCCCUAAUCGAAACGCAUGUGCUUAUCUAGUGAUAUGGAUGAUCAAACCAUUAGAGAUGAAGCUGAGAAGCUAUUGAGAUAACAGCAUAGUAAUACCAUGACACACUGUUUCAUGGAAAGUAUUUAGGAGAGUAGAGCUACAGCUGUUAAACAUAGUAUGAAGUUUUGGAAUAUAGUACAUGGAGGGCUGGGUUUAUAUCUGAAGAAGAUGUUCUCGCUAAGCUGCUUCCUUUCUCCUGUCAAAACUAUUUUUUAUUUUUCAAGGUCUGACUUUUAAUCCUCUGUAAUUAAACCCCAAUGAUGUAAUUUAAAUCCCCUUAAUCAAACUAGGUCCUGGCGGUAUUGUUUUAUGUUCUCGCUCAGUUGUUCUGAUAUAGAAACCAAGUUUUUUAUAACCAUUUUGCAUCUGAACCAAGAGUCUGAGAUAAAAUGUGUGAUGAGUAUAAAAAAUGGCAACUUGGAACACAUAGUUGAUGAGCAGAUAAUUCUUACAUAUAGUACCUCCUUAUUCUGCAUUGCUUGUCUGCAUGGAAUAUGGACUAACAAGUAUUCCUUCGGUAAAAAGCAUGGAACCUACAAAGAUUUUUACUCUAUGCUGUGUACAUGUGGAAUGCUCCAAAGGUUAUUCUAACAAUGUUUGAGAAGGAAGAGCCCUUCACCUUCCCCAAGACGGCGCAUUAGUCGUUCUCCAUCUCCCAGGCGACAUAAAAGUCGGUCUCCAUCGCAAAGACACUACAGAAGAAAGAGAAGUCGGAGUGUCACUAGCUCUCCGAUUACCAAAUCUCAAAGUCCUCCUGUUGCGCGUGGGCCAGCAGAGAAUAAGAAUAUUGUUGAUAAGCAAAGGCUAGAAGAAGAAAAGAAAAGGUGGGGAGUAUCUACUUUGCUAUGCGGAGUCUGCAUACCAUCUACAAACCAAACUGUUUACUAUUUAUUCGCUUCCCUAUUCCUCAUUUAUGUUGACAGCAUGCUAUUCAUUAAUCAACAUUUUUAACAUCCUGUUAAAAUUAUAUUCAUCUAACUGUUGUUUUUACCAGAAUAUAUCUUGAGGUCAGCUCUAUUGGCAAUCUGUGCUCUAAAUACAUUAUUUAAGUUCUUUUAUGAAGAAUAAUGUUUUUUUUAAAUGACCUUCUUGAUUAUUUAAUCUGCAAAACUUUUCUUUAAUGAAACGACUGCACGUCUUGCUUCCAAAUUGUUAUGGUCUCUUGUUAUCCUUGCAUAUAAUUGUUGGCUUAAGAUGUUGAACUCUAGCUCUGAAGAAGUCAUCUAUGAUGAGCAAAGCCAUCGGCACUAGAUGAUUUUUCUGUGUAAAUUCUGUGUAGUAUGCAUUUAAUGUCUCCUCUUUCCCACCAAGGCAGUUUUCCCCAUUUGUUAUCUAUUAUGAAAUUGUAUUACAUUUUGCUGCUACUUUGAUUGUUUGUUAAGGGUUGCCAUGCAACAUAUAGAUUAAUGAGUUGAGUCCAUGAUCCUGGAGAUGCCCAAUUCUCUAUUAUUGUAAACUGUGAUGUUCUUGUUCUUUCUGGAAUUUCUUUGGGGCAAGGAACUUAACAGUGAAAUAGAGGCUUGCAUCAAAAGAACCAAAAAGAGUAAAAGAGGGUAAUUUCUACCAGUUCUAUUGAUGACUUUGUGGCUUAGCUUUGGUUCGUUUUCUGUUUUAUAUGAAAACAGUAUAUUCUUCACUAUGGACCUCUCUGCUGGUUGGCAAAUCUGAAUCCGUUUGUUCAAUCCAUUAGGUUGCAUUCUUAAAAGGCAUGGAGUUAAAUUUCCAUGGUGGUUUUUCAAAGUUUACUUUGGUUGAUGCUUUCAUAGACGUAGUAUGGUCCAAUGUGGGGCUGUAAUUUGUCAUCAUUCCAGUUAUGUCAUCACAUGUGGCAUGUGAUAUACCUGUCAUAAAAAUGCGUUUAAUAUUGCCAUGCUUUCACCAAGUUGUAACGAUACACUAUUGCAUAAUUGCUUUGAAGUUUGUUUUGACUAGAUUGAAGAUGUGAAAAUAUGAUCUAAUUGGAAUACUGAAAUGUCUACAUGAUUAGCUCUAAACCUGCCACAAGUUACUUGACAUUCUUCUCUACAGGCUUUUCUGAAGGAAGCUACUGCUAUAGUUCCACUUGUUAUAUUUGAUGAUGCAAUUGGUGAUCCUUUAUCUACUCUUGACCAGUUUUGAUAGUUCAUUUUUUGGAUCUGGAAUCGUACUAGAGGUAUGCCUGAAAUGCAUUAGCUUGUAUUCAGAACUAUGCUGAUGAAGGCAUAGUUGAUCAUAGAUAGUGUUAAAGAUUGUAAAUCUGCGGUUUUCUUUUGGCUGCUUUUGUUUACCAUUAAGAUUUGAAGAAGGUGCCAGGCAUAGGCAAUUCUUUCUUUCCCAAAGUAGACUUCAUUAACUUGUCUCAAUUGCAGGCGCCAAAAAGAAGUUGAGCUCAGACUAUUAGAGGAGGAAACUGCAAAAAGAGUUGAGCAAGCUAUUAGGAAACAAGUUGAAGAGAGUUUGAAUUCUGAGGAAAUCAAACAUGAAAUACAAAGACGGAUUGAGGUAGGGCGAAAGAGGAUACAUGAGGAGGUAUUAGUCCAAAUUGAGAAAGAAAAGGAGGCAGCCCUGGUUGAAGCUCAGCACAAAGCGGAACGCGAAAGGAAAGAGCGGGAGGAGCUAGAGAAAAAGCUCGAGGAAGAGCGGAAGAAAGCCGAGGAGGCUCAGAUGAAGGAAGCAAUGGAGCAGCAGCAGAAAGAGCUGGAGCGGUACCAGGAGCUGGAGAGGCUCCAGAAAGAGAGGGAGGAAGCCAUGAAGCGGAAGCAGAUGGAGGAAGAGCAGCAGAAGCAGAGCCAGAUGAAGCUGCUGGGCAAGAACAAGUCGCGCCCGAAGCUGUCGUUCGCGCUUGGGAUGAAGUAGAUGAAGGAAAUUAGUGCCUUAUUAUUUAGUCGAUGUGUAUUUUGUAACAGUCUAUCUAUGCCUGAAAACAUCAUCUCUCUUGCUGGUAAAUCGUUUGCAGAUCGUGGGCAAGAAGAAAGCUCUAACAAUGUUUACUGUACUACACAAGCCUGUGGCAACCUGCAAGUUGUAAUUGGCUUGGGCAUUUUACCAUCUCAUCUCAAGUGUAAGCUGACGAUUUGUUAACAGUUCAGAACCUCCGAACCUA